CAGCCGCCACGGUAAUACGAAGGGGGCUAGCGUUGCUCGGAAUGACUGGGCGUAAAGGGCGCGUAGGCGGCGAUCAAAGUCAGGCGUGAAAUUCCUGGGCUCAACCUGGGGGCUGCGUUUGAUACUUGAUUGCUAGAGUGGGGAAGAGGGUCGUGGAAUUCCCAGUGUAGAGGUGAAAUUCGUAGAUAUUGGGAAGAACACCGGUGGCGAAGGCGGCGACCUGGUCCUUGACUGACGCUGAGGCGCGAAAGCGUGGGGAGCAAACAGGAUUAGAUACCCGCGUAGUCCCUGUCUCUUAUAC
This 301-nucleotide ribosomal RNA is filed under the name uncultured bacterium. RNAcentral describes it as "partial 16S ribosomal RNA". It matches the Rfam family "Bacterial small subunit ribosomal RNA", at positions 509 to 807 of the family's 1533-position model. The record is from RNAcentral.